GCUUGCACCUUAUUGGUUAGCGGCGGACGGGUGAGUAACACGUGGGCAACCUGCCUGUAAGACUGGGAUAACUUCGGGAAACCGGAGCUAAUACCGGAUAAUCCUUUUCCUCUCAUGAGGAAAAGCUGAAAGUCGGUUUACGCUGACACUUACAGAUGGGCCCGCGGCGCAUUAGCUAGUUGGUGAGGUAACGGCUCACCAAGGCGACGAUGCGUAGCCGACCUGAGAGGGUGAUCGGCCACACUGGGACUGAGACACGGCCCAGACUCCUACGGGAGGCAGCAGUAGGGAAUCUUCCGCAAUGGACGAAAGUCUGACGGAGCAACGCCGCGUGAGCGAUGAAGGCCUUCGGGUCGUAAAGCUCUGUUGUUAGGGAAGAACAAGUACCGGAGUAACUGCCGGUACCUUGACGGUACCUAACCAGAAAGCCACGGCUAACUACGUGCCAGCAGCCGCGGUAAUACGUAGGUGGCAAGCGUUGUCCGGAAUUAUUGGGCGUAAAGCGCGCGCAGGCGGUCCUUUAAGUCUGAUGUGAAAGCCCACGGCUCAACCGUGGAGGGUCAUUGGAAACUGGGGGACUUGAGUACAGAAGAGGAAAGCGGAAUUCCACGUGUAGCGGUGAAAUGCGUAGAGAUGUGGAGGAACACCAGUGGCGAAGGCGGCUUUCUGGUCUGUAACUGACGCUGAGGCGCGAAAGCGU
RNAcentral lists this ribosomal RNA (700 nucleotides) under Bacillus sp. (in: firmicutes). RNAcentral describes it as "bacterial SSU rRNA". It matches the Rfam family "Bacterial small subunit ribosomal RNA", at positions 78 to 762 of the family's 1533-position model. Lineage: Bacteria; Bacillati; Bacillota; Bacilli; Caryophanales; Bacillaceae. The record is from RNAcentral.